GAUGAAGAACGUAGUGAAAUGCGAUAAGUAAUGUGAAUUGCAGAAUUCAGUGAAUCAUCGAAUCAUUGAACGCACCUUGCGCCCUUUGGACAUUCCGAAGGGCAUGCCUGUUUGAGUAUCAUGAACACCUCAACUCUCACGGCUUGUCCGUGAUGAGCUUGGACUUUGGGGGUCUUGCCGGCCUGUGGUCGACUCCUCUCAAAUGGAUCAGCUUGCCAGUGUUUGGUGGCAUCACAGGUGUGAUAACUAUCUGCGCUUGUGGUUUUCCAUCAGAUAACCUUCAGUGAUAUGGAGGUUCGCUGGAGCUCACAAAUGUCUCUCCUUAGUGAGGACAGCUCUUUGAACGUUUGAUCUCAAAUCAGGUAGGACUACCCGCUGAACUUAAGCAUAUCAAUAAGCGGAGGA
Molecule: unclassified non-coding RNA, 405 nt
Filed under: soil metagenome
Description: partial contains 5.8S ribosomal RNA, internal transcribed spacer 2, and large subunit ribosomal RNA
Rfam family: 5.8S ribosomal RNA (bases 1-121)
Source: RNAcentral